AUAAAAGUUUAAAUUUUAUUGGGUGUAAAGCUCUUAAAGAACUGCUGUUCACAAAGAGUAUAAAGAUUGCUGAGUCUCGGUGUACGUACCCCUACUAAAACGUGUUAGUCCUGCUGUUUUCUUUCUUUAACUGUAGCAAUUUGCUUUCUUGCAGUUCUAUAAUCCUUGCACUUAGCAGCACGGAGGGCUCACAGCCUGCUUGCACCUGUGGGCAGCUGGGAGAGGCUGUCUGUCCUUCUGAGGCAGGUGGAGAAGUGCUUGCAGACCCCCGAGCUGUUGUUUAACUACCACAGACCACAAUUUAUCUACAGCUUGAGGCCAUAAAGGGGAUUC
This 333-nucleotide long non-coding RNA is filed under the name Cyanistes caeruleus (blue tit). RNAcentral describes it as "lncRNA (ENSCCEG00000001919.1)". The record is from RNAcentral. Lineage: Eukaryota; Metazoa; Chordata; Aves; Passeriformes; Paridae.